Molecule: long non-coding RNA, 2308 nt
Organism: Ictalurus punctatus (channel catfish)
Lineage: Eukaryota; Metazoa; Chordata; Actinopteri; Siluriformes; Ictaluridae
Source: Ensembl
GUGCGUGUAUGCUUUGAAAAUGUCUGCUGGGACAAAAAUAAGGUACUCUAUUAGUGGAAUGUUCCUCCUAACGGUUUUGGAAAGACUGAUAAUGGCGGAUGGAGGAUUGUGUGUUUAUACAGGAGCUAAGUGCCCUAGAUAGAGCACAAGUGCGCGCGAUGGACCGCAGUCUGGCAGUCUGAUGUGAGGGGGCCGGUGGGCGGAGCAGGGGUUUGUGUGAGGGGGCCGGUGGGCGGGGCAGGGGUUUGUGUGGGGGGGCUUCAGGUGCUCCAGUCCACUCAGAGGAGGCGCAAGACAGCGGGAUAAGCUGAAUAGAGAGAGCACAGUCCUACACAGCCACUCCCGAGCACACGGAAAAAGACAGACAGGGAGAAAGACAGAAAAGAGAGAGAGAGAACGAGCGCUCACAGCUCGGCUUUGUUCUAUUUGAAGUCUUCAGGGUUUGAACCGGUGCCUCUCUGUGAUCUCUCCUCAAAUCAGUUUGCUUUCUUCCCCCGGGCUAAGAAGUGUGACUGCAAACCUUGUGCCUUUGAAUCCCUCCCCCACACCGCUCUCUGUCUCUCUCUCCCUCUCUUCCUUUAUCUCCUGCGUGGAGCGUUCGAGAUGUUUAAAAGAAGCAAAAGCGAAGUUUUGGUGGACGAUGAAACGUCCGAAGGAGAGGAGGACGCGCCCUGGCAUCGGGAGCGCGCGGAUAAGGUGAGCUCGCGGAUGGAGUGGAUCAAACAAAAGACAUGUAUUUAGCGACCGGCUCGAUAAAGAAUCCGAAGGAACAGAGGAAGUGCUGGGCCCCUCAACUAAGGUACACACACACGCUCAUGCACACACUACUUAUAGACCCAGUGCGUGUACAAUAGCUAAAGGUUCUGUCCUGAUAACAUGGUCUCAGUGGGUUACAAAAAUGUGUUUGUGAAUUUUUUUUUUUUUUUUUAAAUGUUCGUUAGUGGCACGUAAAUAUGAUCCUCUCGUGAGUUUGCCAACAGUCUCCAGGAGAAGUCUGUGGUUGGUUGAAUAUCUCGGUUUAACCCAUGACCCGAGCACCACGCUGCUCUUUCCUAAUCAGGACGCGCCACUCACGGUAAUGUCUGAUAUGAACACGCACUCACAAACCGCCGCGUUCCCGAAGGAAAGUCUGCGUCGUAUGAUCUAACGUAAGGCUGGAGGUGGACACCCGGAGUGCGGGAUAUUUCCGCAUCUAGGUCAACAGUUUCAGAUGAAUGAGACUCGUCUUCAGGCGGUUUGGCCCUGUUUCGUGAAAGAGGAUGUUUGUGUGAUUUGACUCGUCUGGUGUGUGUGUGUGUGUGUGAGCGAGCGUGUCCGCUGUAAUCUGCAGGACGCAUUCUUUCACAGGCUGGACCAAAGCAAAACAGUUCUGGGAAUAGCAACAGGCAUGUGUUGUGUCUGCUUUCACAGGCGCUGCAGGUUCUCACAAAAAGGUUCCGCACGAUCAAACUAAACAGCGCUACUCACGACAAUUCAUCGCGGUUAUUCUUUUCAUUUGGGACAAAACAGUGGGCUCGUUAAUCAACCGAUUAAACGCCGUUUUUUAUUUCACACCUUACCCUGCAUCGUGGUUUCCUUCGAAUGUCCCGGGAUAAUUGAAACCGGCCGUGUUAAUCGCUUAAUUAAAUAUGAACACGAUUAAAUGUAAAUUCAGUUAAUUAUGCCGUUGGAGUAUGCAGCUGUGGAGAUCACGUCAGAGCUCUAACCCACUUUGUCUUCUAAGAUCUAUAACUCUAAGGGAUAUAUAGCUUUAUUUAUUUAUUUUUUUCAAUUAGUGCAAGUGAGUAAGUAAACCUUUUUAUUUAUAUAGGAGUUUUUGAAACCAAAUUUUGCACAAUAAUAAUAAUUAAAAAAAAAAAAAGAGUAAAAGAAUAAAGUGAAAUUUUAAAUAAUAAACUAGUGUAAGUAAUUUUAGGGCUAAUUUAAGAGCUUGGUGAAAAAUGGAAAUAAAUAAAUAAAAGUUAGUGUUUUAAAUUGUAACUACAUUUUUGCCAAACUGCUCCUUUAGGUUUUUGCCCUUUAGGUUAGGGUGGGGAGCUAGAAUCCAGGAAAUUCACUUCUAUAGUCACUUCUAUUGUACAACACAAAGAUAAAAUCAUGAUAAUGAUUCAAAUGUUUGAUGUGAAAUUCAGACUAACACGUGUGGGUGUACAAAAUACAGUACAAGUGAAAUAAAAUAAAAUAAAACCGUCUGCAGAUUUACCCACAAGGCUUAAACAUGUCGAGAAAUCAAAGGGAAAGCCAUCCCAUAUACGCAGUUGAUUUGUUAAGACCGUUAAAAUAGUGUUAGACCUUUUAUUAUUUAUUU